This 86-nucleotide transfer RNA is filed under the name Methanobacteriota archaeon. Its description in RNAcentral is "Euryarchaeota archaeon tRNA-Leu". It matches the Rfam family "tRNA". From Rfam's summary of the family: Transfer RNA (tRNA) molecules are approximately 80 nucleotides in length. Their secondary structure includes four short double-helical elements and three loops (D, anti-codon, and T loops). The record is from RNAcentral. Lineage: Archaea; Methanobacteriati; Methanobacteriota.
GCAGGGGUUGCCGAGUUUGUCAAAGGCGCCGGGCUUAAGAUCCGGUCUCGAUGGGUUCGUGAGUUCGAAUCUCACCCCCUGCACCA